AUACGAACGUAGGCAUGGAAGACGCGGGUAAAAGUGUAUUAUCUGUUCUUAUCAGCUUAAUAUCUGAUACGGAUUGUAUUUCCACCCAAGAUGUUAAACUUGUUUUUGCAAGCUGGUGGAGUGCUUAAAGCCUGCUUCACCUCCGCCGCGGCUCGGCCCGGUAUUGCACAAUCUUCCGGAUCGGUCCACGGUUU
Dermacentor silvarum is the source of this 194-nucleotide small nuclear RNA. RefSeq annotates it as U2 spliceosomal RNA. The record is from RefSeq and is a predicted model, not a curated record. Lineage: Eukaryota; Metazoa; Arthropoda; Arachnida; Ixodida; Ixodidae. The transcript has a single exon.